Molecule: long non-coding RNA, 486 nt
Organism: Bactrocera latifrons
Lineage: Eukaryota; Metazoa; Arthropoda; Insecta; Diptera; Tephritidae
Exons: 3
Source: RefSeq, a predicted model, not a curated record
UGUUUUAAAGCUCUUGCGCGAACAAAUCUGGGGCAACCGUAUACAUAGAUUGGGCAGAAAAUCGUUUGUUUGCUUAACAGGAUCGUAAGGAGCUCGCGGACAUCUACCGAAAAUUGGAGAAGAAGAAAAUGAAACUCGAGAAGCAGAUCUAUCUGAUUGAAUAUGAGAUACACAAAUUCGAGGAGUUGGAGAAAUGUAAUCGCCGCAAAUCGUUAAAAGUAAAUUUUAAGUAAAGUGGAAUAUCGGUCCUUCAAAGUCUAUUAGUAGAAAAAAUGUUUAUUGGUAGGUUUCUUAGUGUCAAUGUUUGUGCGUUUUUGUAAAAGGGGAAAAGCGUGUGAUUUGAGAAUUUGAGAAUUUUGCAAAUAAUUUUGGUAAGAAAGCGUUAAGUUUGUUUGAGUUGAUUUGACAAAAAUCUCUUAUUUACUUAACGAUCAUAUACUAUAUGAGUAUAAGUAUGUGUUUUGAAAUAUAAAUUAUAGUCACUUU